GCAAACUUGGUCAUUUAGAGGAAGUAAAAGUCGUAACAAGGUUUCCGUAGGUGAACCUGCGGAAGGAUCAUUACUGAAGAAAUGGUAUUUGCUGAGCUGACCCCUGUAAUAGGGUGUACGUGCUCGCUUCUACCGCUUUUCUCCAUUCUCCACUGUGCACCUAUUGUAGGCUAUGAUAUUUUUGAAGGCUCUGCGAACUCCCCGUUUGCUUGCUUUCAACUUUUGUAGCCUAUGUUCUAUACAAACUCCUUUUAUAGUCAUGAAUGUAUGUUGUUGAUCUCACACGAUCGAUAAACUAUAUACAACUUUCAGCAACGGAUCUCUUGGCUCUCGCAUCGAUGAAGAACGCAGC
This 352-nucleotide unclassified non-coding RNA is filed under the name uncultured fungus. RNAcentral describes it as "partial contains small subunit ribosomal RNA, internal transcribed spacer 1, and 5.8S ribosomal RNA". The stretch from base 1 to 73 matches the Rfam family "Eukaryotic small subunit ribosomal RNA", at positions 1759 to 1831 of the family's 1831-position model. The record is from RNAcentral. Lineage: Eukaryota; Fungi.